Molecule: long non-coding RNA, 842 nt
Filed under: Marmota monax (woodchuck)
Lineage: Eukaryota; Metazoa; Chordata; Mammalia; Rodentia; Sciuridae
Source: RNAcentral
CCUGAGAACACCAUGGGCUCUCAGAGAUGCUAUAUUCUACACUCUACAAAAUGUGUUGGAAAAGAAGGGCCCAAAACAAGUUUAAUAAACUUGUCAACAUCACAUAUUUCUGAAUACGUAUCUCAAGGUCUGAGGUAUUGAACUUAGCAUACUACAAAAAUUUAAACGUGUAAUUUUUAUAUCAUUCCUACAAAGUUUAGGUGAGAGCAGAUAAUUUGCUCACAUGGAGGCUAAGCAGUACUGAGCCUGAGGUCAUGUUUCAAUGCCAACACUAGGCAUAGACCCAAUGUUAUUUUGUGAUUCCUAUUCCAGUGGUCUCUUUCACUGUUACUUUGUUGCACUGUGGACAUACAUCUUAGCACUGAUACCUUUUCAUUUUAAAAGUACACAUAUCAUGGGGUUUGCAUUUUAAAAAGACACAUGUUAUAGGAUUUUGUGGUUGAAAGCAGUGUAUUUAAUGAAAACAGAGGGUUUAGAGUCAGACCAUCUUGGUUACAGAUUUGCUGCUUUCUAGCCCUGUAGCCAUUGUUUCCUCUUCUUUUAAUGGUGUUAUGAGGAUUACCUGAAGCUAUUUAAGUGAAGCAGUUUGGCACAGUGUCUGACAAAAACUAAUUGUCCAAAAUUUAUGUAUAACAAUUAUUGCUAGCAGGGUUUGUUCUGAGAGAAAGCCCAGAUGGUCUGGGAGAAGUCAUUUCAUGCUGCUGUGGUAUCAGAUCUCACUACCAUCCCUCACCUCUCAAGAAACAUAAGAAACUUGGGAUUCAGGGGAGAAAAUCUAACCAGAGAAAGGCCAAGCUUAUAAACCAGAACAGAUCUCUUGUGAUUUAGAAUCUUUAAUGUCC